GCGUGCCUUUUGUAGAAUGAACCGGCGAGUUACGAUUUGAUGCAAGGUUAAGCAGUAAAUGUGGAGCCGUAGCGAAAGCGAGUCUGAAUAGGGCGUUUAGUAUUUGGUCGUAGACCCGAAACCAGGUGAUCUACCCUUGGUCAGGUUGAAGUUCAGGUAACACUGAAUGGAGGACCGAACCGACUUACGUUGAAAAGUGAGCGGAUGAACUGAGGGUAGCGGAGAAAUUCCAAUCGAACCUGGAGAUAGCUGGUUCUCUCCGAAAUAGCUUUAGGGCUAGCCUCAAGUGAUGAUUAUUGGAGGUAGAGCACUGUUUGGACGAGGGGCCCCUCUCGGGUUACCGAAUUCAGACAAACUCCGAAUGCCAAUUAAUUUAACUUGGGAGUCAGAACAUGGGUGAUAAGGUCCGUGUUCGAAAGGGAAACAGCCCAGACCACCAGCUAAGGUCCCAAAAUAUAUGUUAAGUGGAAAAGGAUGUGGCGUUGCCCAGACAACUAGGAUGUUGGCUUAGAAGCAGCCAUCAUUUAAAGAGUGCGUAAUAGCUCACUAGUCGAGUGACACUGCGCCGAAAAUGUACCGGGGCUAAACAUAUUACCGAAGCUGUGGAUUGUCCUUUGGACAAUGGUAGGAGAGCGUUCUAAGGGCGUUGAAGCAUGAUCGUAAGGACAUGUGGAGCGCUUAGAAGUGAGAAUGCCGGUGUGAGUAGCGAAAGACGGGUGAGAAUCCCGUCCACCGAUUGACUAAGGUUUCCAGAGGAAGGCUCGUCCGCUCUGGGUUAGUCGGGUCCUAAGCUGAGGCCGACAGGCGUAGGCGAUGGAUAACAGGUUGAUAUUCCUGUACCACCUAUAAUCGUUUUAAUCGAUGGGGGGACGCAGUAGGAUAGGCGAAGCGUGCGAUUGGAUUGCACGUCUAAGCAGUAAGGCUGAGUAUUAGGCAAAUCCGGUACUCGUUAAGGCUGAGCUGUGAUGGGGAGAAGACAUUGUGUCUUCGAGUCGUUGAUUUCACACUGCCGAGAAAAGCCUCUAGAUAGAAAAUAGGUGCCCGUACCGCAAACCGACACAGGUAGUCAAGAUGAGAAUUCUAAGGUGAGCGAGCGAACUCUCGUUAAGGAACUCGGCAAAAUGACCCCGUAACUUCGGGAGAAGGGGUGCUCUUUAGGGUUAACGCCCAGAAGAGCCGCAGUGAAUAGGCCCAAGCGACUGUUUAUCAAAAACACAGGUCUCUGCUAAACCGUAAGGUGAUGUAUAGGGGCUGACGCCUGCCCGGUGCUGGAAGGUUAAGAGGAGUGGUUAGCUUCUGCGAAGCUACGAAUCGAAGCCCCAGUAAACGGCGGCCGUAACUAUAACGGUCCUAAGGUAGCGAAAUUCCUUGUCGGGUAAGUUCCGACCCGCACGAAAGGCGUAACGAUUUGGGCACUGUCUCAACGAGAGACUCGGUGAAAUCAUAGUACCUGUGAAGAUGCAGGUUACCCGCGACAGGACGGAAAGACCCCGUGGAGCUUUACUGUAGCCUGAUAUUGAAAUUCGGCACAGCUUGUACAGGAUAGGUAGGAGCCUUUGAAACGUGAGCGCUAGCUUACGUGGAGGCGCUGGUGGGAUACUACCCUAGCUGUGUUGGCUUUCUAACCCGCACCACUUAUCGUGGUGGGAGACAGUGUCAGGCGGGCAGUUUGACUGGGGCGGUCGCCUCCUAAAAGGUAACGGAGGCGCUCAAAGGUUCCCUCAGAAUGGUUGGAAAUCAUUCAUAGAGUGUAAAGGCAUAAGGGAGCUUGACUGCGAGACCUACAAGUCGAGCAGGGUCGAAAGACGGACUUAGUGAUCCGGUGGUUCCGCAUGGAAGGGCCAUCGCUCAACGGAUAAAAGCUACCCCGGGGAUAACAGGCUUAUCUCCCCCAAGAGUUCACAUCGACGGGGAGGUUUGGCACCUCGAUGUCGGCUCAUCGCAUCCUGGGGCUGUAGUCGGUCCCAAGGGUUGGGCUGUUCGCCCAUUAAAGCGGUACGCGAGCUGGGUUCAGAACGUCGUGAGACAGUUCGGUCCCUAUCCGUCGUGGGCGUAGGAAAUUUGAGAGGAGCUGUCCUUAGUACGAGAGGACCGGGAUGGACAUACCUCUGGUGUACCAGUUGUCGUGCCAACGGCAUAGCUGGGUAGCUAUGUGUGGACGGGAUAAGUGCUGAAAGCAUCUAAGCAUGAAGCCCCCCUCAAGAUGAGAUUUCCCAACUUCGGUUAUAAGAUCCCUCAAAGAUGAUGAGGUUAAUAGGUUCGAGGUGGAAGCAUGGUGACAUGUGGAGCUGACGAAUACUAAUCGAUCGAAGACUUAAUCAAAA
This 2324-nucleotide ribosomal RNA is filed under the name Staphylococcus aureus. RNAcentral's name for it is "partial 23S ribosomal RNA". It matches the Rfam family "Bacterial large subunit ribosomal RNA", at positions 599 to 2925 of the family's 2925-position model. Lineage: Bacteria; Bacillati; Bacillota; Bacilli; Caryophanales; Staphylococcaceae. The record is from RNAcentral.